This 433-nucleotide ribosomal RNA is filed under the name uncultured bacterium. Its description in RNAcentral is "partial 16S ribosomal RNA". It matches the Rfam family "Bacterial small subunit ribosomal RNA", at positions 29 to 507 of the family's 1533-position model. The record is from RNAcentral.
AACGAACGCUGGCGGCAUGCCUAACACAUGCAAGUCGAACGAGACCUUCGGGUCUAGUGGCGCACGGGUGCGUAACGCGUGGGAACCUGCCUUUAGGUUCGGAAUAACUCAGAGAAAUUUGAGCUAAUACCGGAUGAUGUCUUCGGACCAAAGAUUUAUCGCCUUUAGAUGGGCCCGCGUUGGAUUAGCUAGUUGGUGGGGUAAAGGCCUACCAAGGCGACGAUCCAUAGCUGGUCUGAGAGGAUGAUCAGCCACACUGGGACUGAGACACGGCCCAGACUCCUACGGGAGGCAGCAGUGGGGAAUAUUGGACAAUGGGCGAAAUCCUGAUCCAGCAAUGCCGCGUGAGUGAUGAAGGCCGUAGGGUUGUAAAGCUCUUUUACCCGAGAUGAUAAUGACAGUAGCGGGAGAAUAAGCUCCGGCUAACUCCGUG